Long non-coding RNA from Daucus carota subsp. sativus, 1094 nucleotides. RefSeq lists it as uncharacterized. The transcript has 2 exons. Lineage: Eukaryota; Viridiplantae; Streptophyta; Magnoliopsida; Apiales; Apiaceae. The record is from RefSeq and is a predicted model, not a curated record.
AAAAUAUAGUAUUGCAUCUUAUCAAUUUAGUUGAGAAGAAUGAAGUUCUCAAGUUUCUUUGGUGUUUUCAUUAUACUUUUAGUGAUUUUGGACUUUGCUUCUGCAAGAAAAGACCUCCAAGACUACUCGAAAGUGAUAAGAAAUGAAGAUGUCAUACCUGAAGCAAUCAAAGAUUUUCGCCGUCAAGAUUCAACAUUUCAAUCUCAAAAGAAAGAUUUCCAAAAAGACUUUGAUAUUACUCCACAAGAAUUCAAAACCCACAACCAAGAUCAUUUGAACAAAGACUUUGAAACUUCUCCACAAAAAUUCAAGACCCACAACAACGAUUAUUUCAACAAAGACUUUGAAACUUCUCCACAGAAAUUCAAGACCCACAACCAAGAUCAUUUCAACAAAGAUUUUGAAACUUCUCCACAAAAAUUCAAGACCCACAACCAAGUUCAUUUCAACAAAGACUUUGAAACUUCUCCACAAAAAUUCAAGACCCACAACAACGAUCAUUUCAACAAAGACUUUGAAACUUCUCCACAAAAAUUCAAGACCCACAACAACGAUCAUUUCAACAAAGACUUUGAAACUUCUACACAAAAAUUCAAGACCCACAACAACGAUCAUUUCAACAAAGAUUUUGAAACUUCUCUACAAAAAUUCAAGACCCACAACCAAGAUCAUUUCAACACAGACUUUGAAACUUCUCCACAAAAAUUCAAGACCCACAACAACGAUCAGUUCAACAAAGACUUUGAAACUUCUCGACAACAAUUCAAGACCCACAACAACGAUCAUUUCAACAAAGAUUUUGAAACUUUUCGACAAAAAUUCAAGACCCACAACAACGAUCAUUUCAACAAAGACUUCGAAAUUGCGCCGCAAAAAUUCAAGACACAUAACAAUGAUCAUUCUGAUUAAGAUUUUGGAAAAGCACCUUGAAUGUUCUUUUUCAAAAGUAAGGUGCAUGGAUGUAUGAAAUGGACACAUGGACAACCUGCAAUAAUAAUGUAUCCCUACAUACCAGAAUCUUUCUGUAAGAUUGAUGUCUUGGCAUGUAGUUGUUAUUAUUUCUAAAUAAAUAAAGGUCCAAUUAUUAAGGAAAA